CGAACGCUGGCGGCGUGCCUAAUACAUGCAAGUCGAACGCACUCUCGUUUAGAUUGAAGGAGCUUGCUCCUGAUUGAUAAACAUUUGAGUGAGUGGCGGACGGGUGAGUAACACGUGGGUAACCUGCCCUAAAGUGGGGGAUAACAUUUGGAAACAGAUGCUAAUACCGCAUAAAACCUAACACCGCAUGGUGUAGGGUUGAAAGAUGGUUUCGGCUAUCACUUUAGGAUGGACCCGCGGUGCAUUAGUUAGUUGGUGAGGUAAAGGCUCACCAAGACCGUGAUGCAUAGCCGACCUGAGAGGGUAAUCGGCCACACUGGGACUGAGACACGGCCCAGACUCCUACGGGAGGCAGCAGUAGGGAAUCUUCCACAAUGGACGAAAGUCUGAUGGAGCAACGCCGCGUGAGUGAAGAAGGUUUUCGGAUCGUAAAACUCUGUUGUUGGGGAAGAAUGUAUCUGAUAGUAACUGAUCAGGUAGUGACGGUAUCCAACCAGAAAGCCACGGCUAACUACGUG
RNAcentral lists this ribosomal RNA (518 nucleotides) under uncultured bacterium. Its description in RNAcentral is "bacterial SSU rRNA". It matches the Rfam family "Bacterial small subunit ribosomal RNA", at positions 30 to 507 of the family's 1533-position model. The record is from RNAcentral.